UAGGGAAUCUUCCGCAAUGGACGCAAGUCUGACGGAGCAACGCCGCGUGAGUGAAGAAGGAUUUCGGUUCGUAAAACUCUGUUGUUAGAGAAGAACAGCGCAUAGAGUAACUGUUAUGCGUGUGACGGUAUCUAACCAGAAAGUCACGGCUAACUACGUGCCAGCAGCCGCGGUAAUACGUAGGUGGCAAGCGUUGUCCGGAUUUAUUGGGCGUAAAGCGAGCGCAGGCGGUCAAUUAAGUCUGAUGUGAAAGCCCCCGGCUCAACCGGGGAGGGUCAUUGGAAACUGGUUGACUUGAGUGCAGAAGAGGAGAGUGGAAUUCCAUGUGUAGCGGUGAAAUGCGUAGAUAUAUGGAGGAACACCAGUGGCGAAGGCGACUCUCUGGUCUGUAACUGACGCUGAGGUUCGAAAGCGUGGGUAGCAAACAGG
Molecule: ribosomal RNA, 429 nt
Filed under: Bacteroidota bacterium
Lineage: Bacteria; Pseudomonadati; Bacteroidota
Description: Bacteroidetes bacterium partial 16S ribosomal RNA
Rfam family: Bacterial small subunit ribosomal RNA
Source: RNAcentral